RNAcentral lists this long non-coding RNA (3267 nucleotides) under Podarcis lilfordi (Lilford's wall lizard). The record is from RNAcentral. Lineage: Eukaryota; Metazoa; Chordata; Lepidosauria; Squamata; Lacertidae.
CAGCUUUCUGCCAGCCAGGCUGGUGGUUCCUGAAGAUGUUGGAGAUCGCUGCAGGAAAAGAGAAGGGGAGCUCUAAUAAAGGGUGCACCUUCCUCCGUGGCUGCUCCUCCCUCCAGCUGGGCUUUGCCUGCUGGUGGAUGCUUUAAGCCACCUGGGGAGGCGGCUUGUGCUAGGAGCCAUCCGGAGGGGGAAGGCGGGGAUGGUGAUGUCAGGGGCACAAAUACCCUGAGUUCGGUAAGUUGGCCGGGCGUGGGCGAAGGGAGAAAGAGAAAGAGGACUGAUGUGUGCUAUAUAUAUAUGUGAUCAUAGCGUUGGGAGCCCGACGAUCAUCUAGUCCAGCCCCCUCUGCGAUGCAGAAAUAUGCAGCUAGCGCAUACGGGGAUCGAACCUGCAACCUUGGCGUUCUCAGCAACACGCUCCAACCAGCUGAGAGAGAGAGAGGCGGGCAGAAAGGAGAUGAACGGCGCAGGGAAACGGCAGUGGAAUGCAGUGGGUGGGAGAGAAGAUAUAAUGGGUGUUCUAUAGUAUAAUGCUUAGGAAUGAAUUGUAGCUUUACUUGCGGAUAUUUAAUUAUACAUUGCAUGCCGAAAAAGAAAGAUAAACAGAAGGGAGGACCAAAAGAAGAAAAUGCACAUCUCACUGCAGGAUUCAACAUAGUAAUUCUUCCCCAGUAGUUGCAAUGGCAAAGUCCGCUAAACAUUUAUAAAGAAACCCUCAUUUAUUUACAGCACAAUCCUAAGCAGGUCUGGUCAGAAUUGAGUCCUGAAUUCAAGGUGAGUUACUCCCAGAAAAGUGAGGUUAAUAUUGCAGCUUUAAGGUACUACAAGGGAUUGAACCUUUGAUCUUAAUUUUAUUUGCUUACAGCUUUAUUGGUACUAUUUUAUUUUAUUGACUUAUUUUAUUCAUUAAAUUUAUAUAUUCUCUUACAAUAGUGCCAGCUGCUGCCUGCCUGCCUGCUAUUGUCCUCCAGCCUCAUUUUAUUCCAGUACUGGAUAAGCAGCUGCAAUAUCUCUCUAGUUUUGUUGUACAUUCUGAUUCCUUCCUACAGGUGUUUAAAACUACGAAGGGUAUAAUAUAGUGUUCUUGAGUGCUCAAAGCCCUUUGUGUACAAUGAUCUCAGUAACCCUUACAACCACCGUGUAAUAUAGGUCAAUAUUAUUCCCCUCAUAUUGUAGCUUGGGACAGGGUGGGACUGGGACUGAGAAUGAGAAAUAGCAAGCAGUGUAAAGGUAGCCUCUUUAAUAAUGUGCUUUAACUUCUGUAGUGGGCUGACCAUCAUGUUGGUUGUGUGAAUUAUAUGACCCUGCUGUUCCCAUUUUGCAGAUAAGGGCCUUAUUAAAUAUGGAGAAGUCAACAUUUGGAUCCAUCUUCAGAAUCUACUUUAUCAGUGAUGCCUUUGGCCCAGUCCUCUGUUUUGCAUGCCCUUACAUAAUGCAGCCUAAACACAUGGAUUUGAAGCAAUUGCUUAUUCCUUCCCUCUCUUUGUUCUUUCCCUGUGUUGAAUUAUAGACUGUAACCUUCUCAGGGCAGGGACCUGUUUUCUCGUACUGUGUUAAGUUCCAUGCACACUGAUGGCACUAUGCAAAUAAAUAAUAAAAAAACACGCAUGAGGGAAUCAACCUUUUUAUAAUAAAUUGAGUGAAGCAUACACACAAAAACACAUACACACACACAUUGCAUUUUACAAUAAAAUAAAAGCUCAGGAGUUGAAAUUACACUAGAGCCAUUUUUACCAUGUUCAUAUUGAUUGUGUUUCUUUUCUCAUUGUUACAUUUAACUUUUAUAAAAUUAACUCAGACUAACAUUUUUGUAUUGUCAUGUAGUCCAGACAUCUUAGUGCUCUCUCCCAUCAUUGCUUUUUUGUUGUUGUGGGGUGGGGAGGGGUGUCCAAAAACAUUAAAGGUUGAAAGCAAAUGGGAAGAAAACAGCAUAUUUCAUCAGUCACCCUACCUCAUCCAUUAGAAACGGUGCUAAUUAAAUACAAAAGACACACACACAGGAAAGCAGUAGAAAGGAUUUCAAGGGGGGGACCAAUAGUAAUAACUGUAAUAACCAAGGUACAUUAUAUAAGAUAGAGGAUACUAACGAAAAGAAAAAUAGAGAGGGGAAAAGGGGUGGGGAGAAGGAAGGAAGGAAGGAAGGAAGGAAGGAAGGAAGGCGAGAGAGAGAGAGAGAUUGUAUAUGUAGUGCAGAGGAAAGGUAUUUGAAAAUGGGUUGGGUGUGUGUGUUAUCGCCAACCCUUUCAUUCCAAUGACUUAUAAAAAGGACCCAUCGUUUUAAGAACUUGAUCUCUUGUUGGUUUCUGGCUUCUCGAGUAUGGCAUUUUAAUGCAUUUUACCGCUUCUCAUAAUUUCUCUGGCCAGUCUUUUCAUUGGGGUGGGGGGGUCACUUCAUCUUCCAGCAUUUAGCUAGACAAAUUCUGGCUUGUGUUUCUUAAAAUGAAUACUGCAAUAUACAUACCAAUUUUCUUGAAUGUCUGAGCAUUGUUUUGGUCUGGACCCCCAGCCACCUGCCCCAUUUCCCUUUCUUCCCCACACAGAACACAUUGUAUUAUUUAACAGUAUUUGUUUUUCUUUUUGGAAAGUCCAAUAAAAAACUAUUAAUAAUAAUAAUAAUAAUAAUAAAUCAAAAUUCCAAGAAUUCUGAAUUUUAUCCCUCUGAACAAAAUAGGUUAGCUUUCUAUAUAUGUGUGUGCUUUGAAAUUCAUGGUAGCUGCUAACAUAUCUAAAAUAAAGGUAUCUUCUAAUGAAAAUGAGUUACUAAGUAUAAAUAGCAUUAAAGAAAUUGUGGAAAGAAGUACAAUAUUAGCUUCCCAAAUUGCAAACCAGGGGUGUUUACUGGUGAAAGCAUUUGACAAAGAUGGGUAAUAAACUCCAUUUUAGGCCCCUAAACUCAUUGGGUUUGGCCAAACCUACCUUACCUGUUUGUUUUUCAGCAUUUGUAGGCUCUUCUAUAUCAAAAUGUUCUCAGGGCAGCUGAGUUAAUCAAAAAAAGUUAAAAGACAACAAUAGGAAAAUUAAUAGAAUACAAUAUUAAGCAGAAUUUAAAUUCCGCAUUAAGCUCAGAAACAAAAAGGGGUGUGACAAAAAUGAAAACAGCAAGAUUUGAAAGCCCUAGGAAAUUAAGGUUGGUGCCAAGGAAGCCUCUCUGUGGAGGGCAUUCCACAGCUGGGGUGCCACCACUGAAAAGACCCUUCGAUUCAUUUGACAUCUCUUCGCUGGUGGGGACACCUAAAGAAGAUCCUCCAGCUUUGAUCUCAGGGUCCAG